This 183-nucleotide ribosomal RNA is filed under the name Triticum aestivum (bread wheat). RNAcentral describes it as "partial small subunit ribosomal RNA". Lineage: Eukaryota; Viridiplantae; Streptophyta; Magnoliopsida; Poales; Poaceae. The record is from RNAcentral.
AGAAGAAAGGCUGAAAUGCCAACGGACCUCUGUCUAUUCUCUAAUUCACCCGAUCCGAUAGUACCCAUUUUUGGAACGUCGAGUGCCAAAGUCACUGAAUGGGUAAGUCACCAAUCCAAUCCCUUUGACAAAUCAGAUGUCAUAUUAGAUAUCAUAUUCUAUAUAUAUAUAUAUCAUAGAUAG